Non-coding RNA from Thermochaetoides thermophila DSM 1495, 76 nucleotides. The record is from the annotation of a RefSeq genome assembly. NCBI's taxonomy places the organism in Eukaryota, Fungi, Ascomycota, Sordariomycetes, Sordariales, Chaetomiaceae.
GAGUGCAUGGUCUAGUGGUAUGAUUUUCGCUUCGCAUCCGUGUGAAAGGUCCCCGGUUCGAUCCCGGGUGCAUCCA